AAAUUUUAUUCCGUUAAUGUCAACGCCAAAUAUUUAAUAACAAUGCACAAUGCUUAUCGAUGCCUCGAGUAAGAGGUAAGACGGCUUAUCAUAUCUUAUGUAAAUGAUAAUAGUGUUUAUUAGUGAUUUUUACAAUUAUUAAUAUUGCUCAAUAUUUUGAAGUAAGAGUAUUAAGAAGUAAUGCAGAUUAUCAGUGCUUCGAAUAAGACAUAAUAUUAUAAAAUUACAGACAAUAUCUUUAUUGGGCAUCUAAAAGAGGAAAUGUCAAAUUCAAAAUAAUUUGUACUUGGCAAUCCAUAAACUAUUUUCCAGUGUUGUGUUGCAAUUUUAUAUAUCAAUCAUAUAUUUUAUAAAAUAUAGUAUCACGGAAUGAAUUCGUGAGAUAUCUUUAUAUCUGUCACUCGUUCAACUAUCACUGCUCUUGUACUUGCGCUAUUCAUGAUGAACAAAUUAUACAGAAUCGCUUAUAAGUCGACAAAUAUACUUCCAGAGGCGACAAUCUGUGGAUCCAUAAGAAUUGAAACUCUCUCUUUACUUUCACAAAUGCAAGAAGAAAACCAUAUUAGAGACUACAAAAUACAAACACAUAAUUUAACAGUAAUGAAUAAUUAUUCUGAUGCACAGGAUGACCCCAAAAAUUUCAGAUCAAAAAGAUUUUUGAGGAGAAGAUGAAUAAUUAAACAAAGAUUUGACGCUUUUCUUCGGAUUUGAUCAUCCAUCGAUAGCCUUCUUAUUAUAAAAUUUUAACUUCUUUGUCAUUGAAGGUGGGCCAUUGAGUUUCGAAAACAAGAUACUAAUUAUCUCAGUCUUAAAGAGUUGUAGAUUAGAUGAUUUAGAAUUGCAUUGAUUUUCAUCUUUAUUCCCAUAUUCGAACAAGAUGCAAGUAUGUAUAAAUGUAGUUCCACGUAAAUGUAGUUUCGCGUAAAAAUUUGCAUAGAAGCUUCAGACGUCGUUAGCGGCUAGCCUUAUAUUUCGUAUUAUACGUGAUUUUUUACAAUGUUUUUUUUAAUAGUCUUAUUGUACUCUUGCGUAGUUAU
This is a long non-coding RNA of Camponotus floridanus (Florida carpenter ant), 1037 nucleotides long. RefSeq lists it as uncharacterized. The record is from RefSeq and is a predicted model, not a curated record. The transcript has 3 exons. NCBI's taxonomy places the organism in Eukaryota, Metazoa, Arthropoda, Insecta, Hymenoptera, Formicidae.